ACUACAUAGCAAGACGGCCUUAAAGAAAAAAAAUGCACACCAGAAGCAAGGCCUGCGGCAGGGUUCAACAUAGACAAGCUCCCUUGCUUGGUCUACUCCAGCCACACUGGCCAGCAUCUGGGUCUCCAACAGUCUUAAGCUUGCCUGUCUCAGAACCUUUGCAUUUGCUCUUCCCUCUGUUGGGAGCACUCUUCCCAGAACCCUUCCUGCCUGUCUGAUUUUCAGUUCAGACAUCAGCUCUUUUGGAAGAGGUCAUAGCAAACCCUGCCCCCAAUCUAAAGCGCCAGCUCCUGUCCUCCAUCCCUCCUAUUAUAUCACCUUGCUUUUUUGUUUUUAUUUCUCUUGUCAUUGCUGGGAAGUCCUUUGUUUCUUUAUUUGCUGUUCUUGGGAUGGCUUUUGGCUUUUUGUUUUUACAGUGCUUGGGAUGGAACCCAGGGCCUCACACAUCCUAGGCAAGUGCUCCACCACUGAGUCACAGCCCAAUAAUCUUUACUUUUAUUUAUUCAUUUGUGGUAUUGGAGAUCAAGCCCAGUGAGGUUCCGUCACUGAACUAACUCCUCAGCCCCUUUUAUUUUUUAUUUUGAAACAAGGUCUCACUAAGCUGCCCAGGUAGGACUCGAGCUUUCAACCCUCCUGCCUCAGCCUUCAAAAGUGCUCCGAUUACAGGUCAAACUAUUACACAGAGCAAGUUUUGAACUCAGAAAGCCUGGCUCUAGAACCUAUUCUUUUCACCACCAUUUGCGUGAUAGAAGAGUUGAAUUACGGGAAAUACGAAAUACAUUCCAGUCAGUUUUGAGCUCAGAAGUUUGAGGAAAGAUGAAAGAAACCAUGAAAAAGUAUGAGUUUUUUAACUUCAGAAACCGGCCACUAAGACGCAUGCUAGUGAAAGGCUUUGGUCACCCCGUGCCUGGUCAGAAGCCCGGGUGCACACUGUUGACCCUUGACCCCACUGCGCCCUCUGGAGCCAUCUUACCCAGCAGUUGGAUCUUCCUUUGUAACUCAACCACCUGUGUGUGCACAGCGGUCUUCACUGGACAGUGGCGGCGGAGUCCCGCCUUGGAAUGGACUGGGGCCCAGGCCUGUGCCCCCACCGAGCCCUUGCCUCGGGGGUGGCCCUGCUUGGCCGGAGCCUUACUGCCCUUGGCUUUGGAAGAGGGCAUCAAAGCCUGAU
Non-coding RNA from Heterocephalus glaber (naked mole-rat), 1171 nucleotides. NCBI's taxonomy places the organism in Eukaryota, Metazoa, Chordata, Mammalia, Rodentia, Bathyergidae. The record is from RefSeq and is a predicted model, not a curated record.